RNAcentral lists this ribosomal RNA (605 nucleotides) under Mortierellaceae sp. BEA-2010. RNAcentral's name for it is "eukaryotic LSU rRNA". The stretch from base 163 to 316 matches the Rfam family "5.8S ribosomal RNA". Lineage: Eukaryota; Fungi; Mortierellomycota; Mortierellomycetes; Mortierellales. The record is from RNAcentral.
GGAUCAUUCAUAAUAAGUGUUUUAUGGCACUUUUUUAAAUCCAUAUCCACCUUGUGUGCAAUGUCAGGGUUGGUUUCUCUCUUUUGAGAGAUCAACCCCAAACAUCAACUCUAUCUUAACUCUUUGUCUGAAAAAUAUUAUGAAUAAAACAAUUCAAAAUACAACUUUCAACAACGGAUCUCUUGGCUCUCGCAUCGAUGAAGAACGCAGCGAAAUGCGAUACGUAAUGUGAAUUGCAGAAUUCAGUGAAUCAUCGAAUCUUUGAACGCAUAUUGCGCUCUUUGGUAUUCCGAAGAGCAUGCUUGUUUGAGUAUCAGUAAACACCUCAAAGCCUUUUUUCUUUUUUGAAGAAAGGCUUUGGACUUGAGCAAUCCCAACACCAAUCUUUUAAAGAGAGGGGGCGGGUUGCUUGAAAUGCAGGUGCAGCUGGACAUUCUCCUGAGCUAAAAGCAUAUUCAUUUAGUCCCGUCAAACGGAUUAUUACUUUUGCUGCAGCUAAUAUAAAGGGAGUUUGACCAUUUUGGCUGACUGAUGCAGGAUUUUCACAAGAGUCUUCAAAACCUCUUGUUAAACUCGAUCUCAAAUCAAGUAAGACUACCCGCUGA